UAAACGGCCCUUUUCAGGGCCACUAAUUUCAUUACGAAAGAGUUAU
Molecule: regulatory RNA element, 46 nt
Organism: Culex pipiens (northern house mosquito)
Lineage: Eukaryota; Metazoa; Arthropoda; Insecta; Diptera; Culicidae
Rfam family: Histone 3' UTR stem-loop
About the family: The mRNAs of metazoan histone genes lack a poly-A tail. 3' end processing occurs at a site between a highly conserved stem-loop (modelled by this family) and a purine rich region around 20 nts downstream (the histone downstream element, or HDE).
Source: Rfam